This 272-nucleotide long non-coding RNA is filed under the name Olea europaea (common olive). RNAcentral's name for it is "long non-coding RNA (OEUR_LNC004245)". Lineage: Eukaryota; Viridiplantae; Streptophyta; Magnoliopsida; Lamiales; Oleaceae. The record is from RNAcentral.
GACCAUUGAAACUGAAUGGUUCUUUAUGUGUGUUCCACUGUGUAUAGCCCCUUGUAAAUCCAUUUUUGUAAAAAUGAAAUUUCACAUCAUAUCCUUUGAGAAACCUUGUGUUUUUACAUAUAGAACAUGGACAUUUGAUCAUAUCUCCAUCUCUUGUUCGAGACAUGGCAAAUUCAAUGAACUCUUCAACACCUUCAAUGAAUCUAUCAGAAAGAAAUCCAUCACCUGACCUUUUCAACAUCAAACUGCGGUCUAAUGCCAUAAUGUUCAAC